RNAcentral lists this ribosomal RNA (446 nucleotides) under uncultured bacterium. RNAcentral describes it as "partial 16S ribosomal RNA". It matches the Rfam family "Bacterial small subunit ribosomal RNA", at positions 338 to 795 of the family's 1533-position model. The record is from RNAcentral.
CCUACGGGCGACAGCAGUCGAGAAUCAUUCACAAUGGGGGAAACCCUGAUGGUGCGACGCCGCGUGGGGGAAUGAAGGUCUUCGGAUUGUAAACCCCUGUCAUGUGGGAGCAAAUUAAAAAGAUAGUACCACAAGAGGAAGAGACGGCUAACUCUGUGCCAGCAGCCGCGGUAAUACAGAGGUCUCAAUCGUUGUUCGGAAUCACUGGGCGUAAAGCGUGCGUAGGCUGUGUCGUAAGUCGUGUGUGAAAGGCGCGGGCUCAACCCGCGAACGGCACAUGAUACUGCGAGACUAGAGUGAUGGAGGGGGAACCGGAAGUCUCGGUGUAGCAGUGAAAUGCGUAGAUAGCGAGAGGAACACUCGUGGCGAAGGCGGGUUCCUGGACAUUAACUGACGCUGAGGCACGAAGGCCAGGGGAGCGAAAGGGAUUAGAUACCCCUGUAGUC